AGAGUUUGAUCCUGGCUCAGGAUAAAACGCUGACAGAAUAGCUUAACACAUGCAAGUCGAUGACUAAGUAUAGCUUGCUAUACGAGGUCAUGGCGGACGGGUGAGUAACGUGUAAAGAACUUACCUUAUAGACUGGGAUAACAGAUAGAAAUGUCUGAUAAUACUAGAUACUAUUACACUGUGGCAUCACAGAGUAAUGAAAGAAUACGCUAUAAGAGAGCUUUGCAUCCUAUUAGCUAGUUGGUAAGGUAAAGGCUUACCAAGGCGAUGAUAGGUAGCCGGCCUGAGAGGGUGGACGGCCACAAGGGGACUGAGAUACGGCCCUUACUCCUACGGGAGGCAGCAGUGGGGAAUAUUGGACAAUGGAGGAAACUCUGAUCCAGCAAUUCUGUGUGUGUGAAGAAGGUCUUCGGAUUGUAAAACACUUUUAGUUGGAAAGAAACAAAUGACGGUACCAACAGAAGAAGCGACGGCUAAAUACGUG
This 484-nucleotide ribosomal RNA is filed under the name uncultured Sneathia sp. RNAcentral describes it as "bacterial SSU rRNA". It matches the Rfam family "Bacterial small subunit ribosomal RNA", at positions 8 to 507 of the family's 1533-position model. Lineage: Bacteria; Fusobacteriati; Fusobacteriota; Fusobacteriia; Fusobacteriales; Leptotrichiaceae. The record is from RNAcentral.